CCUAGCUGAAUGAUUAAUUGGUUAAACUGUCCCUACUUUUAGGUUAUUCUUAUCUCUUUAAACCAGUCCCUCAUGGCCUCAGACACUUCCCAGCUGUGUGACCCUGGGCAAGUCACUUGACCCCCAUUGCCUAGACCACUCUUCUGCCUUGGAGCCAAUACACAGUAUUGAUUCUAAGAUGAAAGGUCAGAGUUUUUUUUUUUUUUAAUAAUAAAUAAAUAAAUAAAUAACCUAGUCCUUCAAAGAUUUAAUUAGAUUAGGAAAAGCAAGUUCCCUUGGCUUCAAAUGGACUGUUUAACUUUAUAUACAAUGUAUAUAUUUUUAUGAUUACAAGAUAUACACUGAGUAGACUAGAAGAGAUAUGUGUAUAUGUCUACACAUAUAUUAUGUAUACAUUUAUAGUAUAUAUGCUUUCUCUAAUAUACUGAAUAUUCACUUUACUCCUAGACCACUGGAGGCAUGGAGACUUUAUUCCCAUUGUACAGAUGGGAAAAGUAAAGUGGAGCAAUGAGGAAUUACUCGUCUAUGGAACUUGGAUCAGAGCUCUUCCCUAUCUCCAAGGAUCAGGAGACGCCCCAAAGGACAGAAAGGAACUGGUGUGCAUCCUUCCAAUGUCCGCUGAACUCAGGGACCACAUCUGGCCAAGCCUGCUGCACCGGAAAGGGUAAUAGACGAUGUGAAAUUUACCAGAAGCCAGCCAAAAGGAGGUGAAUUCUGUGCUCAUCAUAAUUGGGAGGGGAAAGGACCUCCGAAAGGGAGGUAGCCAAUAUGUUGCUGUAUCAUUGAGUGACUAUUCUAUGUCAGGUCCUGUCCCAGGCACUGGGAAAUAACAGAAAAAUACAAAGUGAAAAAGUCUCUGCUCUUAAAGGAACUUCUAUUCCACUGGGAAACCCCAAGAAUUUAUGCAUCUAUAUAUAGAUAUUUAUAUUUGUAGAUAUGAUAUUUAUAUGUGGGUUCUAGAAGUACAAAGUACAAGAAGAACAGGGGCUUUCAGGUGCAAAGAACCCUGGGAAGUAAAACUCCUGGGUAGAUAGGAAGUCAGGGGCUUUCCAUUCAGUGAGGCCGUGGAAAUAAGCCCCAAACACACCAGAAAGCAGAGCCUCUGGGGAAGCCAUUAACUUAGAAGCAGUAAGGCACACAGUCUUUCCCCUUAGCUUGAACCCAAUCUAUUCUUUUUUUUUAUUAUACUAUUAUACUAUAUAUAAUAAUAUAUUAUUAUACAAAGCUAUGUAUUGGCUCCAAGGCAGAAAGAGUGGUAAGGGCUAGGCAAUGGGGAUCAAGUGACUUGGCCAGGGUCACACAGCUAGGAAGUUUCUGAGGCCAGAUUUGAACCCAGGACUUCCCAUCUCUGGGUCUGGCUCUCAAUCCACUGAGCUACUCAGCUGCCCUCCUAUUCUUCUUUUUAAAUGAUCAGAUGUCCUGCCAAAAAACCACUAGGGCAAGAAUUUCAUCAGGAGUCUGACUAAGGAGUCACUCCCUGAAGUACCUUACCCAGCCGAGCAAUCAUACAUUGCCAUCUUGAUCCACUACAUAAAGAAAACUCUUGUCUUUAAUCACUGAAGUAACCUAUGUUUAUUGUCCUUACCUUGUAAAUCAUUACCUCUCAUUGUUUCUGUGUGAAUAUUCCCAAAUUUUCUUACCUACAUCAUUUACUCUAUAAAUUGUAUACCCCAACCCAAUAAACUCUACCUCCACUCUAAGAAACUGUCUGCG
Molecule: long non-coding RNA, 1713 nt
Organism: Monodelphis domestica (gray short-tailed opossum)
Lineage: Eukaryota; Metazoa; Chordata; Mammalia; Didelphimorphia; Didelphidae
Source: Ensembl